UACGUAGGCAGCAAGCGUUGUUCGGAGUUACUGGGCGUAAAGAGUGUGUAGGCGGUGCUCCAAGUCUGGUGUGAAAUCUCCCGGCUUAACUGGGAGGGUGCAUUAGAAACUGGAAUGCUAGAGGAUGGGAGAGGUAAGCGGAAUUCCUGGUGUAGCGGUGAAAUGCGUAGAUAUCAGGAGGAACACCGGUGGCGAAGGCGGAUCUCUGGGCCGAUACUGACGCUGAGGAGCGAAAGCGUGGGGAGCGAACAGG
Molecule: ribosomal RNA, 253 nt
Filed under: uncultured bacterium
Lineage: Bacteria
Description: partial 16S ribosomal RNA
Rfam family: Bacterial small subunit ribosomal RNA
Source: RNAcentral